AAUGAAGGUGAAAGUAUUUAUUUAAUUAUCUUCUUCUACUUCUUAUUCAAAUCUUCUACAUCUCACCAUGCAUGAAAUUAAAUCUUGAAUUCAAGCUAACCAGUGGUUGGCUCCAGUACAACCAAAUAACACUAAAAGCUUUAAGACCCUAUGACCUUUGCCUACUUGUGAUCCAUUGUAGGGUCCUAAAUUGGGAAAUUUGGAGACAGUUCUACCUUUCUGCAUUUUCACACAAGUGGCUACUCUCAGUUCUCAAACCAACAAUUUUUUUGGUUGCAAGCUGAAGACUUUUACCACUACUCAGCUCAUGGCCUUUAAUACAAUAGCAAAACUGGGAAGAAAUUUUACCUGAACCAAAAUAAAAGGUAAAGA
Molecule: unclassified non-coding RNA, 372 nt
Filed under: Hevea brasiliensis (rubber tree)
Lineage: Eukaryota; Viridiplantae; Streptophyta; Magnoliopsida; Malpighiales; Euphorbiaceae
Source: RNAcentral